RNAcentral lists this ribosomal RNA (534 nucleotides) under Escherichia coli. Its description in RNAcentral is "bacterial SSU rRNA". It matches the Rfam family "Bacterial small subunit ribosomal RNA", at positions 998 to 1532 of the family's 1533-position model. Lineage: Bacteria; Pseudomonadati; Pseudomonadota; Gammaproteobacteria; Enterobacterales; Enterobacteriaceae. The record is from RNAcentral.
UUUCAGAGAUGAGAAUGUGCCUUCGGGAACCGUGAGACAGGUGCUGCAUGGCUGUCGUCAGCUCGUGUUGUGAAAUGUUGGGUUAAGUCCCGCAACGAGCGCAACCCUUAUCCUUUGUUGCCAGCGGUCCGGCCGGGAACUCAAAGGAGACUGCCAGUGAUAAACUGGAGGAAGGUGGGGAUGACGUCAAGUCAUCAUGGCCCUUACGACCAGGGCUACACACGUGCUACAAUGGCGCAUACAAAGAGAAGCGACCUCGCGAGAGCAAGCGGACCUCAUAAAGUGCGUCGUAGUCCGGAUUGGAGUCUGCAACUCGACUCCAUGAAGUCGGAAUCGCUAGUAAUCGUGGAUCAGAAUGCCACGGUGAAUACGUUCCCGGGCCUUGUACACACCGCCCGUCACACCAUGGGAGUGGGUUGCAAAAGAAGUAGGUAGCUUAACCUUCGGGAGGGCGCUUACCACUUUGUGAUUCAUGACUGGGGUGAAGUCGUAACAAGGUAACCGUAGGGGAACCUGCGGUUGGAUCACCUCCUU